GGCUAACUCUAGGAGAAGGUUGUUUUCUAGGUGUAAAAUGAGGCUAGUGGUGACACAGUUAUAUCAUGUGAGUGUGUGGAAAUAUUUAUGUUGAACCUGGAAAUUUUUUGACAUGUGUGAUGAGGUUGCUAAGGCAGGUAGGUUUGUUAGGAUUCCUCUUUGGAAGUUUUGCUUGUCUUUGUCAUGACUGGGAAAUUGUUUGUUUGCUUUCUUUCAAGAAUUGGUAAAGUGUUUGCUUUGUUGUCAGGAUAGAUUUGGUGAUGCAUGACCGACAAAAA
This is a long non-coding RNA of Rhododendron vialii, 278 nucleotides long. RefSeq lists it as uncharacterized. Lineage: Eukaryota; Viridiplantae; Streptophyta; Magnoliopsida; Ericales; Ericaceae. The transcript is spliced from 2 exons. The record is from RefSeq and is a predicted model, not a curated record.